Molecule: ribosomal RNA, 203 nt
Filed under: uncultured bacterium
Lineage: Bacteria
Description: partial 16S ribosomal RNA
Rfam family: Bacterial small subunit ribosomal RNA
Source: RNAcentral
GACGUAGGGCGCGAGCGUUGUCCGGAUUUAUUGGGCGUAAAGAGCUCGUAGGCGGCUUGUCGCGUCGUCCGUGAAAACCUGCAGCUCAAUUGCAGGCUUGCGGUCGAUACGGGCAGGCUGGAGUUCGGUAGGGGAGACUGGAAUUCCUGGUGUAGCGGUGAAAUGCGCAGAUAUCAGGAGGAACACCGGUGGCGAAGGCAGGG